RNAcentral lists this ribosomal RNA (253 nucleotides) under uncultured bacterium. Its description in RNAcentral is "partial 16S ribosomal RNA". It matches the Rfam family "Bacterial small subunit ribosomal RNA", at positions 524 to 776 of the family's 1533-position model. The record is from RNAcentral.
UACGUAGGGUGCGAGCGUUCAUCGGAAUUACUGGGCGUAAAGCGUGCGCAGGCGGUUUUGUAAGCCGGGUGUGAAAUCCCCGGGCUUAACCUGGGAAUGGCAUUCGGGACUGCAAGGCUGGAGUGCGGCAGAGGAGACUGGAAUUCCUGGUGUAGCAGUGAAAUGCGUAGAUAUCAGGAGGAACACCGAUGGCGAAGGCAGGUCUCUGGGCUGACACUGACGCUCAUGCACGAAAGCGUGGGGAGCAAACAGG